AUAUUAAGGUAUAAAGUUACCUUUAUAAUCAAAUAAUCAGUCUUUUUAAAUAUUUAGAAUUUGAAGCCAGAUGACCAAGAUGCCUUAGAUGAGCAUAAGUCCUCUCCAACAGAAUAUGCUUCAUUAUAUCCUCAUCCAACAGGCUUUAUGUAUCAAUAGUGAACGGCAUAUUAUCAGAAUCCACAGUACUUUGAAUUACCAUCGUGCCAAGAUUUCUGACUGCUUUGCUACCCAGUCACAAUUUUCCUUGAAAGCAGACAUUGUUCAUCCACCUUGAAAUGGCCAUUCAUCAACCAAGCAGGUGGUUGUUGUCAAUAGGGAGCUCUUCAAAGGGCAUUGCCCAUGUGACAGUGGGAUCCAGUAAUUCCUGAGGUGGUUCCAGACUACAUGCUAGAAAAUUCCCUACUACCUGCUCUUGAACAGGAUGAGCAACUCCUUGCACUUCCCUGGUUUGUGAUGAAGAAAUAAACAAUACCCAGUUCCUGCCCUGGAGAAGCUCAUUGCAUAGAAAAAGGAAAAAGGCAGAUAUACAUGCCACAGUACAGUGCCGAGACAACAUAAAUCACAAGCAACCAAGUACAAAGGUAAGAUAUCUAAUUUGAAAUUUUAUAUUCUGUUUCUAUUGCUUCUUGCUGUUGUGAUUAGCCGUCUCUAUAUGUGUUAAACGCAACACCCUAGGGGUAACACGGACUAGAGUACCAGAACUUACAUUCCAAUUUUUCUUCCAAUAGUGGCUGUUAACCAAGUAUUGGUGAAUAUCAUAUAUGAAGAUUCUGCUAAAAGUAAAGCCACCCUGACUGCGAUGCAUGGAUGAUACAAUUUACUGGGUCUAGGAAAGAGAAAGAAAGUGUGUGUUUUCUAAU
Long non-coding RNA from Gorilla gorilla gorilla (western lowland gorilla), 863 nucleotides. RefSeq lists it as uncharacterized. Lineage: Eukaryota; Metazoa; Chordata; Mammalia; Primates; Hominidae. The transcript is spliced from 4 exons. The record is from RefSeq and is a predicted model, not a curated record.